ACCUACGGGUGGCAGCAGGGAGGAAUAUUGGGCAAUGGGCGCAAGCCUGACCCAGCAACGCCGCGUGAAGGAUGAAGGCCUUCGGGUCGUAAACUUCUUUUGAGGGAGACGAGAAAGGACGGUAUCCCUCGAAUCAGCCACGGCUAACUACGUGCCAGCAGCCGCGGUAAAACGUAGGUGGCGAGCGUUAUCCGGAUUCAUUGGGCGUAAAGAGCUUGUAGGUGGUUUCGUAAGUUGGACGUGAAAACUCCGGGCUUAACUUGGAGAGGCCGUUCAAUACUGCGGGACUGGAGGAUGUCAGAGGGGAGUGGAAUUCCUGGUGUAGCAGUGAAAUGCGUAGAUAUCAGGAGGAACACCCGUGGCGAAGGCGGCUCCCUGGGGCAUCCCUGACACUGAGAAGCGAAAGCUAGGGGAGCGAACGGGAUUAGAUACCCCAGUAGUCGG
Molecule: ribosomal RNA, 444 nt
Filed under: uncultured bacterium
Lineage: Bacteria
Description: bacterial SSU rRNA
Rfam family: Bacterial small subunit ribosomal RNA
Source: RNAcentral